AGUUAACGCUGGCGGCGUGCCUAACACAUGCAAGUCGAGCGAGCUUGUAGCAAUACAAGUUAGCAGCAAACGGGUGAGUAACACAUGGGAAACCUCCCUCAGAAUGGGGAACAUCUCCGAGAAAUCGGAGCUAAUACCGCAUAAGACCACAGUCUGGCAUCAGACAGGGUAAAAGCAGCAAUGCGUUUUGAGAUGGUCCUGUGUCCUAUCAGCUAGUUGGUGAGGUAACGGCUCACCAAGGCUAAGACGGGUAUCCGGCCUGAAAGGGUGAACGGACACACUGGAACUGAGACACGGUCCAGACUCCUACGGGAGGCAGCAGUGGGGAAUUUUGGACAAUGGGGAAACCCGUGAUCCAGCGACGCCGCGUGAAGGA
This 376-nucleotide ribosomal RNA is filed under the name uncultured bacterium. Its description in RNAcentral is "bacterial SSU rRNA". It matches the Rfam family "Bacterial small subunit ribosomal RNA", at positions 29 to 408 of the family's 1533-position model. The record is from RNAcentral.